UUUGCCGUGAGUCGUCGUCGUGCUCGGUGUUGUUGGUGUUCACAGAGCGAGGCUCGUUCCCGCACGCUCGAUGUCGCUCAUUUCCGCGGCUUAGUUCGAGGAAACGCCGCGCCGUGUUCGGCGGCGCCUUCGUACGGGCGAGUUGUGCGUUCGCUUCGUUCCUUCGUUCUUUAUUUUUUCCCUCGUUUCCCCUCGUUUCGUUCGCGUUGGUUUUGUUUCGUUCGACGAUCCCCGUGUCUCGGCCGGGCCCCUGCCGUUCUUCCGGAGCCCGGCGCAAAAGGUGAAAGUACGGAUCCCGCGUCGCCCGAGAGAGCCCUGGCUCGAAUGAGUGCCAGGGAAGAAGCUGGCCGUUUCCUCGCGAAUCUCGCGUACGAGCCGAGCCGUGUCGGCCACGCGACGUAGCAGUCGUUCCUGAGCCUGGACACCCCCUCGACCCUCUCGAGCAACAGCCGUCUCUCGCCGACCGUCGCCGAACCCGAAGGAGAGGCUGUAGAUCGGACCGCCGAGGAACCCUACUUGCGUCCCCUAACCACCGUGAUCCUGCAGUGUUCCAGUGUGUGUUCGAGGCUCGAGCGAGACCACGGUCGGCCCCGUACACACGACGUCCGGGACCAGCAUGCUACACCACCAUAGAGGAUAGCGUUUGCCACUCGACGAACCAUCGCAUGCUCGCACGUAUCAUCACGGGCAGUUCCGUUCCACAAUAAGAAAAAUGUCGGGACCGGGCAAAAGGACUUACCUCCGCGAGGUGAAUCCCUACCUCGUUUGCCUGUUGUGCCGGGGCUACCUCAUAGACGCGACCACCGUCGUCGAGUGUCUGCACUCGUUUUGCAGAAGCUGUAUUUUAAAGCAUCUGAGCACCGAGGCGCAGUGUCCCUCUUGCAAACAUGUUCUCAACAAGGCGAAGCCGAACAUCAAGGCGGACAAAGCGUUGCAAGAGAUCGUGUACAAAUUGGUCCCCGGGCUUUAUCACAAAGAGAUGCGCAAGAGAAGAGAGUUCUACAAGAAGCACCCGGAGCACGCGGACUUCGCGACACCGGAGCAACGCGGCGAAGACGUGAGCGGCCGACUGAUAUUCGCGCCGGAGGACGCGGUCAGUUUGAGCUUAGAGUACCUGCCACCCGGAGCGGAUCCGCUCACGAUCCUGCUCAGCACGAACGACGACGCGAACACCGUGAACGGACUGAACAACCAAACGAACAACAAUACCGGCAGCAAUAACGCCGGCAACCACAACACGAACACGACGAGCAACCGACGGUACCUUCAAUGUCCCGCGCUGGUGACUAUAGCACACUUGAAAAAAUUCCUAGCACUGAAAUACAGCGUCGACAUGACGAGAUACACGAUCGAGGUUUGCCAUCGGCGUGCCCCGCUUCCAGAGCACUGGACGCUCAUGGACGUCGCGUAUAUUUACGCUUGGAAGAGAAACGCACCCAUGCGAUUUUUCUACCGAGUCGCGUUGGAAGAGCAACGGCUGGAGGCGCCGCCGCACGACAGACCGUCCACCCCCGGUCUGGGGGCGAGUUUACCCGCGGACGCUGUCGUUCAGAACAGAAUCAACGCGGAAAAUGAGCAGAACGAGCCGGAACGCAAGGCCGAGAUCGAGCAGGCGAACAAUCAAGAAGAGAGGCGCCCGUUGGAAGCUGGAAACGAAGCUCCAAGCGAAAAGUCGAGGGUGUCCAACGAGCAGAGGGUCGCGGCAGAGCCGAAGAAAGUCGCGAUAGAGCCGAAGAAAGUCGCGAUAGAGCCGAAGAAAGUCGCGGUGGAGACGAAGAAGCCGGAGACGAAAACGGAACAGCCUCUGAGCAGCGCGACAGUGUCGACGACGGUGACAUCGACGACGAUUUCGUCUUCCACAACGAACACGACGACCACAACAGUGACUAACACGACACCGUCGAGCACGUCGACGAAUACCGAGGCCACGAAGCAGAUCAAAACGCCCAUCAAGAUACUAAAGAAUCCGGAUGGACGUUACGAGGUGCUGAGAAGCCCGUCGCUGAACUGGGGCACGAAAGAGCCGAGCACCGAGCCGAAGUCCUCGAGCCCCGAGUUCAGCGUGGUCAGCAUAGGCAGCGGGCAGAACUCGAACGGAGUGAAGAUCACGCUGAAGCAAUGCCCGCCGAGCAACGUGACCCCAAAGAAGCCGAAAGUGAUCAGCAACGUUUUGUUGAAUUGCGGCCAGUCGGAGAAGGAGAGCCCGAGUGCGUUGGUCAUACAGCAGAUCCAAAGAGACCGAGAGAAGCAACAGGCGGAGAAGCAGGAGAAGCAGCGGCGCAGGGUCACGUUCGUGGAACGACCGGCCCCGCCCGAGAAACCUGUGAGCAACGCGGUGAAGAUCUUGCCGAAGAAGCCGGCCGAGCAGCAGGACAAGAAACAGUUCCUUCAAGGGUUCCAACUGACCGCCAGAGAGACCGUAGCGGAAUCGCUCGUGGACUCGAAGCCGCCGGAGACGACUGUGAGCGGGUCGGUCGUCGAUGCUCAGAGCAAAGGUAACGCGACCAAAAAGGAGGACAAGAAGAUCGAUGCGGCGACGGAAGACAGAAUACAGAAUAAAAAUACCGUGGAGAACGCGGCCGGUGUUAAUGCGAGCGGAAGCGUGGCGAACGCGAGCAAACGGCCGGCAACGGUCGCCGGAAUUAGCGGCAAUGCGCGAGUGAACGCGAACAAACAGUGCAGUGACGUGGAUGCACGGCCGUUCGGUUACGCGAAGAGUUCGAGUGUGGCUACCGUGAACGCGAACGCCGGCAACGCUCCGGCAAAGGUCGACGUGUACACUUUUUCCAACGACCCGCCGGUGGUCCCAGCGGGGGCGGUUAAGAGAAAGUGUCCACCGGGAUUGCCCAUCUUCGACAUCAAGCGGAAGAAACAGCAACAGGUGCAGACCCCGAAGAAACAGUCUCCCGUUGCGACCGUGCCCUCUCCUCUGCCCAGCCCGAUGCCUAACAAUCUCAAAUCACCGAGGAAGAUAGCCACCGAGCACGUGGUUUCUGCGAAGAGACCCGCGAACGUCAUCGGCGAGCCUGGUCCCAGUCGAGCGCCAGCUCCGAGUCCCAAACCUCAGACCAACAACCCAAUGCUCUCGAGCGACACGAGAAACAUCUUGGACGGCUGCGGUUUGAACAUCCCUGCGAGCCUCAGUAUUACCCUAACCGCGCCAAAGUCCCCUGGCAGCAGCGGAGGAUUCGUCGAGCCGAGCGACUCCAAGGACAACCGGAAGAACGCGCUCGGAAAGGUGAGCCCUAGCAUCACUCUGAACGAUCGGUCCGUGGAUCCCCGAGUGCUGAAAGCACUGAAGGCGGGCCAAAUAAGGAUGCCGGCGCCAGCGAAACCGAGGCAGACCAAGCAGCCGGAUCGUGAGAUCAAUCAACAGCGGCAGACACCCUCUGGGAAGAGGAAGAGGGAGCAAGAAUCGAGGGAUAUUCUUGAUCUGAGCGGUGGAAAGAAGAUGGACAUGCAUCCGCUGAGAAUACCGAACCCUCAGCCGAAGAUGAAGGCGAAAUCGUCGGUCAGAGACAACAUGCCGAACCUGUCCGACCAAGGGCAAGUGGUGACAUUGAUGGGAGGGCACAGAUACUAUCGAGCGCCGCCAGGAUCUCUAACUCCCGCGGCUCACAGAGUGAGCGACUGUCCUUUGCCGACACCGACGCGCACCCCUGUCUACGCUCCAGGAUUGUCGAGCCCCAUGAGCGCCAACCGAUCGAGCACAAACCUCUCGUCCGUGUUCCCAAGCCUGCAGAGCCUGUACGCCCUCAGCCAAGCCCCCAACCUCCAGCAGUUCCAGAUGGACGCGAGGUUGAGGCUGCCGCGGCCAACCGAGGCGAAUUCCUCGGGCAUUAACACCGACAACCGAAGCGCGAACAACAGCCUGCCAGGGAAGAGUCACUUAGCUGCUCAGUGCGCGCCGGUGAAACCCGCUCGAUCCUCCAUCGCACCACUGGCAGUGCCCAUUAGCAAACAACAGCAGUCCGGCGAAAGGUCUGCCAGCACCGUUUGUCUGAACCGUACUCUCGCCAACGAGGUAAGCAAGAAUGUCGCGUUUCGAAGCAACGAACCAUUGGAUUCCGUAGACAGUGGCCAGCAGCAAUUGUCCGUCCAAACGAAGUACCCUGCGACCACGGAAACCAGUAACAACCGGUACUCGCCUCGAAGCACCACGAGCAACAGUGGCAGCAACGAGGACAAGGCGUCCGUUGAAACGAUUCGCGACGCGAACACGGAAUCGAACAACGAUUCCAAGAAAGACGACACUGCCUCGAGGCAAACCCCUAAUCGCGAGGCUGCCAGCCCCAGGGUUUCUUCAACGGCUUCCCCGUCGCCUCCGCCAGGCGAUUCUAGCACCAGCAACAACAACGAGAACGCCGCUGGUCGCGGCGACAGCGUGACAACCGGGUCGAACGGGAUCGACAACGACGUGCCCGCUCCCAGCCCGAAGAAGAGCACCACCCCCGCAGUGGAGGUGUCCAGUAGCAAGUCUCCGGCCAGCCCUGACUCCAGCUCGGUGACGAUCGAGAGCAGCCUAUCCAGCAAAGGUUGCUCAACGGUGGAACAAGGCUUCCCGUCUCCAUCGGAGGUAACUAAGUCUUCCUCCGAGCGAUCUUCGAAACCCGAGAACCCAGUCGUCGACGCGACCACGGAUACCGAGAAGAAAUCCGCGUUCAAACAAUCGGACGCGAAGCAACUUACUUCGGAAAUGUUCCAGAAGAGACUGCUGGCCGCGUUCCCUUCGAACGAGUGGGCGAACAACCCCAUAGCCGCCCAACACCUGGGCAACUUUCUGAAGAGCUUGAACGCCUCUAUCAAGUCGGAUAACAAGAUGGAGGGGAUCGCAGCGGAGAAGAUCGAGGCUCAGCUAGCGUGCAACGACGGUGCGACUGUUCGUUUGAACAACGAAGCUACGUCGAAGACCAGGCCGGACGUUACCGAACGGUCUUAACCACGUGGAACGCUCUGUGCACGAGCGGAAUGAUUGUUCGUUGAAGGAGAUAGCUAUCGCACUGCCAGACCAGGCAUGUCCACGGGAGGCGCGGUAGGGGCCAAUCGAGCGCUGACUUCUCGUUCCCAAAAAAACACGUUUGUGGAAGCGGACGAACCAUGCCAUAAAAUGUUUCUUCGACGACGGGACGCGACGGCGAGAGGAAUAACGGUUGUCUCCUGUGGACGUCUCUGUUCUGCGUUCUGCGAAUAGAGACGAUGGAACCUGAGAGACUCUCUCAGGUGUUCGCGGGACGCUUUGUACAAAACACGGUGUACCGCGUCGUACAAUACAGGGAAAAGAUACAGCUCGGACGCUGGAAAUUUUAUUUUUUCAAAUUUUUUAAGGACACACUCGAAGACACGUACACGUACACGCAUACACACGCAACCCUCCCCCCCGUGGAAUUUGAAUCUGCGCGCAGUUGCUUCGUCGAGUUCGCUACGUUGAGAGGGUUCCAUGGGAACUUCCGAUUUCGCGUAAACGAUAUCGACUUGUGCGAGUCUGUAGUGUUUCACGUGGGAAUCGUUCCUAUCUCGGUCCAAUGGAACUAUGCGAAAGCGGAGUGUUCGACCAAGUACCUCGCAUUGAAUUUACAGACGGCGGAAAGCUCGCGGGUCGUUCAAGGGUAGCCAUCCGCUCCAACCGAAUUGCCUUCAGAUGGUGUCCUGAACAACCCGCAAAUAGUGGAAUCGUUUGAUCUUUUUUUUCAUUUCUUAUUGUCGCUCAAUAUAAUUGGUCGCAAAUCUUUGUAAAGCUUUACAUAUUUCUCAGAUGUAUUUACAAGGGCAUGAACCCUUUCGCUACCCCUAUGUUAACCGGAUCAUGGCCCAAGAUUGUUGAGAGAGAGAAAGUCUGGGAGCCCAGUGCAGCGACACCCAAUGGCCAAAAACUGACAGUAAAGUCGAAAUUUAUGUUGUUCUUUAUUUACCGAUUAAAAUCUAUUCCAGGAAAGCUGCUUUAGUCAUUGCAAAAUCUUUCCUAUUCGUACUUAUGCAUUCUAUAAGCAAGGAGAUACACAGGGACCGAAAAUUGACGGAGAUGGAAUAUCCGAAGAGAAGUGAUUAGUAUACAAUUAAUUGUAUAACGUAUGGAUUUAUGCUAUUGUUAGUUUCUUCAUUUAUCUUUUCUGCGUUACGUUUCGCUAUGAGUUACUACUAUGUAUACGUUGUACGAUAAUUGUUAUGUUAUGCAAGUGUAUUAUAUUAUAUGUAUUAUUUCUUGAUCUGUAUAUAUUUAUGAUUAUACUUAGUCAGCCGUUCUUUGCGAGAAUGCGCGCAAAAUCCUAUUACUCUGUAAGCCCAACAACCGUUUCUAUUCAAGUCGAAUUUGAAAAAUCAUGAAAACGAUCGUGAUCAAAAAGUUUUUAUAACACAAAUCGCAACGAAUGUCUCGUUGCGAUGCACGUUGGACAUUCAUUUCGAAUAAUAGACAGAACGGACAUGUAACGACUAAAGGAAUAUAUUAUUAUAUACCUAAAAAUAAAA
This is an RNA transcript of Megalopta genalis, 6465 nucleotides long. RefSeq lists it as uncharacterized. Lineage: Eukaryota; Metazoa; Arthropoda; Insecta; Hymenoptera; Halictidae. The record is from RefSeq and is a predicted model, not a curated record.